CUCCAAUAGCGUAUAUUAAAGUUGUUGCAGUUAAAAAGCUCGUAGUUGGAUUUCUGGUGGCAGCGACCGGUCCGCGUCUUUGGGCGUGUGUACUUGAGCGCUGCUUCCAUUCGUGGGGAACCGUGUGGGGCGAGAGUUCUGCGCGAGGAUCCGCGUCGUUUACUGUGAAAAAUUAGAGUGUUUAAAGCAGGCUUAUGCCU
RNAcentral lists this ribosomal RNA (200 nucleotides) under uncultured eukaryote. RNAcentral describes it as "partial 18S ribosomal RNA". It matches the Rfam family "Eukaryotic small subunit ribosomal RNA", at positions 589 to 796 of the family's 1831-position model. The record is from RNAcentral.